Molecule: ribosomal RNA, 468 nt
Filed under: uncultured bacterium
Lineage: Bacteria
Description: partial 16S ribosomal RNA
Rfam family: Bacterial small subunit ribosomal RNA
Source: RNAcentral
GACGAACGCUGGCGGCGUGCUUAACACAUGCAAGUCGAACGGAAAGGCCCUGCUUUUGUGGGGUGCUCGAGUGGCGAACGGGUGAGUAACACGUGAGUAACCUGCCCUUGACUUUGGGAUAACUUCAGGAAACUGGGGCUAAUACCGGAUAGGAGCUCCUGCUGCAUGGUGGGGGUUGGAAAGUUUCGGCGGUUGGGGAUGGACUCGCGGCUUAUCAGCUUGUUGGUGGGGUAGUGGCUUACCAAGGCUUUGACGGGUAGCCGGCCUGGGAGGGUGACCGGCCACAUUGGGACUGAGAUACGGCCCAGAAUCCUACGGGAGGCAGCAGUGGGGAAUAUUGCACAAUGGGCGGAAGCCUGAUGCAGCAACGCCGCGUGCGGGAUGACGGCCUUCGGGUUGUAAACCGCUUUCGCCUGUGACGAAGCGUGAGUGACGGUAAUGAGUAAAGAAGCCCCGGCUAACUACGUG